UCCCCCAGGCGUGAUUCUGAUUU
Molecule: microRNA, 23 nt
Filed under: Equus caballus (horse)
Lineage: Eukaryota; Metazoa; Chordata; Mammalia; Perissodactyla; Equidae
Description: eca-miR-361-3p
Gene: eca-miR-361-3p
Source: miRBase by way of RNAcentral